UACGGAGGGGGCUAGCGUUGUUCGGAAUUACUGGGCGUAAAGCGCACGUAGGCGGCUUUGUAAGUUAGAGGUGAAAGCCCAGGGCUUAACCCUGGAAUUGCCUUUAAGACUGCAUCGCUAGAAUCGUGGAGAGGUGAGUGGAAUUCCGAGUGUAGAGGUGAAAUUCGUAGAUAUUCGGAAGAACACCAGUGGCGAAGGCGACUCACUGGACACAUAUUGACGCUGAGGUGCGAAAGCGUGGGGAGCAAACAGG
RNAcentral lists this ribosomal RNA (253 nucleotides) under uncultured bacterium. RNAcentral's name for it is "partial 16S ribosomal RNA". It matches the Rfam family "Bacterial small subunit ribosomal RNA", at positions 524 to 776 of the family's 1533-position model. The record is from RNAcentral.